Long non-coding RNA from Triticum aestivum (bread wheat), 4751 nucleotides. RefSeq lists it as uncharacterized. The transcript has 2 exons. NCBI's taxonomy places the organism in Eukaryota, Viridiplantae, Streptophyta, Magnoliopsida, Poales, Poaceae. The record is from RefSeq and is a predicted model, not a curated record.
ACACGACACGUGCACCGCCCGGUCAAGUCUAGCCGCCACUCUCGUGAUCUCGUCUCCCGGGGCUUCUCUUCCUCUCCAGUGAUGAGUCUCCUCCAUGGCUUUUGGCAAAAUUUCGUGUUUUGACCCUUGUACCUGCCGCGGAUCUGGAACUGGAGCGAAGAUCCAUCCCCCAUGCGGAUCUGGAUCCAUCUCUUCUCCUCUCCCCUCUCCGAACGGCGGCGAUGAUGGAGGGAGCCGCCGGCGACGGCCGGCCAGGCUCCCGACAGGCGGACUCGCCGCUCCUCGGGGCCAGCCCCUCCCGCCGCGCCCCGCGCAUCGGCUUGGCGACCCCUAGGCGAUGCCGCCGGUGCCGGGGGGCGUCCGCGGCGGCGCGGCCUGUGGCGGGUCCCGGUCGAGGGCUUGCUCGUGCUGGCGCCGGAUCUGAGCCGCCGUCGAUGGAAUCUUGGCAGCUUGGCUGCAUCUUGCUUCGGGUUCGGUACUGUCACCAUCUCUCUCUCUCUCUCUCUGAUUCACACGCGCUCUCUCUUUCCCUCGGUGUGGACGCGCGCACCUGAACCAAAUCAGCCGAGCUCUCGUUGCCGCAUCGCUGACCCGUCGUCCCGGCGGGCGCCGCGUCAGUUCCCCAGCGCCACGGUGCCGCCGGCCACCGCCAUUCCAUUGGCUUGGAUUCGGUUGUGGCGCGGGCAGGGAACCGUAGGGUGAUUGUCUGAUGUGUCGUCCGUGCGGGGGGUUUGGUCGGUCGAGGCCUGGUAUAAUACAUAUGCCACCAUUGUACAUGCCCUGAGCAGGAUGGAUGGAUGCAUGCAUACUCCCGUCUAGAUACAUCCUCUUUUAUCCAUUUCGAUGACAAGUAUUUUCGGACGGAGGGAGUACAUGAUAUCAUGUUGCUUGGUGUGCAGCAGGCGAUGAUGAUGAUGAUGUUGACGACUGUGGCUAAAAUAAGUUGUCUUGAGCAAUCAAGACGGCCUAUAGCCAGCAGCCAGCUAUACUAUUAACCAUGCUCUAAAUAGAAUCAGUGGCCGCGUUGGAGUUGGCCUUAGAGCCCACCCUUACCUCUCUUGUAGCCUGUUCAAUUCAUGGCUGAUGUUGGAUGGCUGUCCCUCGGAUGGUCACUCUGAUGAGUGAUAACCAGGGCAGUUCUCUUAUAUCGCGAUGGGUAGAUUAUGCAGCAAGAGAUGUGAGUGUUGGGUUUGAAGAUGUAAUGCAAAACUGAGCCAUCUUUUGCUUACGAUCUUUGUAACCUCUCCCUCUGUCUCUCUCUUCAAACCCUAAACCAAAUCAGUUGAGUUCUCAGUGCCGACUCACUGACCCAUCGGAUGGGUGGUCGCUGCAUCAGUUCCACACCGCUACGGGGCCAGCCACCGCCAUUCCACUGCCUUGGAUUCGGUUUGUGGCGUUGGCUGGGAACCGUACGGUGUUGUCUGAUGCGUCGUCUGAGCGGGAGGUUUGGUUGGUCGAGGCCAGGUAUGAGCAGUUCCUGAGAUGGAUGGAUGGACGGACGGAUGGGUGUAUGCAUGCCUAUGUGUAUGUAUAUCAUGGUCAUGUUGCUUGUGGUUCGGCGUCCUUUUGGGAAAAAAAUGAGGGGCGAUGAUGAUGCGUGUGGCUGAAAUAAUUAUGUCUUGAGCAAUCAAGACAGCCGUGACGUAUGGGUACUAAAUAGGGCCUGAAUGGGUGCGCCCACGUUGGAGAUGCCCUUAAGAGCCCACCCUUACCUCUCUUGCAGCCUGGUCAAUUCAUCGCUAAUGUUGGAUGUUCUGCGCCUCGGACGGUCAUUCUGAUGAGUGAUAACCAGGUCAGUUCUCUUACAUCACGAUGGGUAGAUCAUGCAGCAAGACUUGUGAGUGUUGGGCUUCAAGAUGACACGCAUACUGAGCCCUCUUUGCUAUGCUACAAAUACUGUUAUAUUUGUGAACGGAGGGAGUAUCUAUCUAUCUAUCUAUCUAUCCAUAUCAGGGGAGAUGAUGGUCAAACAUGUCUGACAUGAACUUGUCUUAGAUUAUUCGAGGAGCCGUGGGUAUCAAAAAUCCGAUCUCCUCUCUUUUGGGACCUUUUCAUUCUCACCGAAUAUUGACGGCUCUGUCUUGGAUGGUCAUUCUGUUGAGUAAUAACCAGCAGAGCUUGACUUCAAUGGUGGGGUUUGAUCUGGUCAAGGAAGAUGGUGGAGCUAGUAUGAUCUAUCAAAGGCGAAUGUGAGCCCUCCUACAUCCGAUUCAUAAAAAAGUUAGAACAUCUUAUAUUUGUGAACAGAGGGAGUAUCUAUCUAUGAGGGGCGAUGAUGAUCAAACAUGGCUGACAUAAACCUGUCUUCGAUUAUUUGAGGAGCUGUGGGUAUCAAAACCCGAUCUCCCCUCUUUUGGGACCUUUUCAUUCUCACCGAAUAUUGGCGGCUCUGUCUUGGAUGGUCAUUCUGUUGAGUGAUAACCAGCAAAGCUUGACUUCAAUGGUGGGGGAUGAUCUGGUGAAAGAAGAUGGCGGGGCUAGUAUGAUCUAUCAAAGGCGAAUCUGAGCCCUCUCAAUGCAACUAAUACUGUGCGCUCCCACAUCCAAUUCAUAAAAAAGUUAUUAUGUUUAAAGUGAUAAAUUGUCAUGGUGUUUGGUUUGCCUUCUCCUGAUUUUGUGGUCCAUGGAGGGACCAGUUUUGCGCAUUCAGGCUUUGCUCAAGCUCGUCACAUUGUGGUGGUCCUAGUAUUGGUAGUGGUUGAAUGUGUUUACUUCCUUCUUUUCAUGGGGUUAAAUGUGUGAAACAUGAUCAGCAAAUGUUUGCCCUCUUUUCCUGUCUGCAUGUCCUCCUUUAUGUCCCCAUUAAAUUUCUAGUGGUUCUUAUGGCAGUGAUGUAAAUUCAAGUCUGCAAGAUUUCAACAUUUUUUCUACUGUCUUGGCAUAGCACAGCAACUGCUAACUGGCCUCUAAGAAUACAAUUUGGCCGGUUUGUUUUUUUGCUGAUGACCAUUCUAAUGCUUAUAGACGCCAAUACGUGGAAAACCACAAAAAUCUUGUGUUGUGAAAAUACCAUGACUAUCUUUACCUUUUUGAGAAUUUGUCUUUCUUGCCGGCCUGUAUCCAUGUAUACAUAAAAGAUAUGAUGAGAGUUUGGUUUUGGUUUUAGUUCUUUCGGUAUGCAAAGGACUGUUUUGCAAGGUUACAUUUCGGCCUUUUUUCCUACCCAUUUUACCCAUUUUGUUUGUUUUGCUGUAUGUCAACCAGUUCUGUUGUUUUAGGAACAGUACUCACAUUUUCCUUCUGUUCUCCCUUUUUCUUGAAUGCUAUGAUAGUUCUGCUUUCCCUUGGAAAGUUUUCGAAACUAUCUUAUUUGGUGCGGGGUCAGUUUUCUUCUUUCAAUUGCUAUUUGACUUUUGAUAAUUUCAUUCUUUUACUGUACUGUAUCCACUUAUCAGUUACUAGUAUUUUCGGAUAAUUUUACUUCUUUACUGAUUUCGACUUAAAGGUCAUAUAGGGCAAGUUCAGAUGCGAACAUUACUGUUUCCUUCCUGUCAUGUCCAUGAAUGGCUGUGAUGAUAUAGCUUCCCUGUGAGAGCUUCUGUCUAACACCUGAACUGAUUCAGUUGGUACUAAACUAGGAGGGCUUGUGUGACAGCAAGUAACCAGUUUAGCGGCUAACUAUAAUUCUUAAAUGUUGGAAUUAUGAAUACACUUAACAGUGGAGGGAGGGAGGGAGGGAGGGACGGAGGGAGGGAGAGAGAGAGGGAGAGAGAGAGAUUCCAUGGUCCUUCUACCAGAAGUUCAGUUAUGGUGUUGAGCUGGGGGUAUAUCUGAGCCAUUUACUUGUACACGUCCCAACUUUUGUGCCCACCAGAUCAUGAUUUGCUAUUGGCUUCUCUGUUAUUCUGUUUGUGGAAUUUGUGCUAAGUUCUGUUGAUGGCGAUGAUGAGUAAGGCUCAUUAGAGGUGUACUGAGUUCAGAUACUAUUGCUUGUUUUACGGGUAUGGUUUUGGGUUAGGGUUUUGUGUGACUAGGUGGAAGUGUGCAAAUCGGGACGGCUUGCUUUCUGUGAGCAACCAUUUCAAUGCUCAAAUGUCACACGGGUGUAAGGGCAUCUCCAACGCGGAUCACCAAGGAUACACUAUACAGAGUGGGUUGACCAUAUGAUAGACAAGCCAACUCUGAGCCUCCCAUUUUUAUUGAUAAAUAUGACCUCUCUUUCUACAAUCUGUGGUUAUUUGCUUAUGUAUGUUUUUGAAUAUUCUCAAUCUAUUAAUGAACUAUAGCAGUAUUGGGAUCUCACUGUAAUAUAUGUUAUCAUCUGUGGAACUUACAAGAUAUGCUCAUAGCAAACUGGAUUUUGUGCUAUUUUACACUUACAUACUCAGAAUGCUUUUACUUACUGAUGCAUCAAGAGGUUCUACUUUAUUUGAGGGCCCUGGGAAGCGGCAGAGGGCUUCACAUCUUUUGUUCAAAAUAUGCUGUUAUUUGCAACUUGAUGCCUGUUCAAGUCAUAUAUGCAAGUGUUGGUGGUGCUGUAAUUCAUAUGGUCAAUCACAUUAGGAUGCAACCGAGUGUGAGUGCAUAUGAGCAUUAAGAUGGCGAGAAUACUAGUAAUUGCCAUGUCAGUGGCUUGGCUUUAUGCAUGAGCCCUCGGUGCAACUGUACUAGUACCACACAAUCUGUACUUACAAUAUUAUUCCUCUUUUUCAUCUCUGGAACCAGUUCCCUGUAUUUUGUUUUUGACAGCUAUGUGCCUAGUACAGUUUACUCCCAGAAUUUAGUGGCCUGUUGAUGCUGUUUGUAAGUUA